GGUGGUUCUCGGGUGAUGUACCCCGAAUCAGGCUCCCUUCUCUCUGGUUCUGGGGUGCAUGACCCAAGAAUCGCA
This is a non-coding RNA of Myotis brandtii (Brandt's bat), 75 nucleotides long. Lineage: Eukaryota; Metazoa; Chordata; Mammalia; Chiroptera; Vespertilionidae. The record is from Rfam.